RNAcentral lists this long non-coding RNA (268 nucleotides) under Heterocephalus glaber (naked mole-rat). RNAcentral's name for it is "lncRNA (ENSHGLG00000041684.1)". The record is from RNAcentral. Lineage: Eukaryota; Metazoa; Chordata; Mammalia; Rodentia; Bathyergidae.
UGAGUUUAGAGACCUUUUUGACACUCAUGACUGCGUCUGCCGCUCCCCCGCCCGCUAGCUAGUGGUAAUUUUCCCACCUAGCGGAGGUCUUCAGAAAUAUCUUCAGAAACGGUUGGUCUCCAGAUCGCUCUCCCGCCGUUCCCAUCUUAGGGCCUCUCCAGCCACCAAGGUCGGCAGCACCUUGUCAAUGGCUUCCCGCCAACUAUCCUCUGUGCGUGGCCGAGGUCCUGGUCGUGGCCGAGGUCGUGGUCGUUGUGGCCGAGGUCGU